GACGAACGCUGGCGGCGUGCCUCAAACAUGCAAGUCGAGCGGACGGAGACCGAACCGCAAGGGGAGGUUGAAGUUAGCGGCGAACGGGUGAGUAACACGUGGGUAACCUACCCUAAAGUCUGGGACAACGGCCCGAAAGGGCCGCUAAUACCGGAUAAUGUCUUCGGGUCGCAUGGCCUGGGGAAGAAAGCCGAAAGGCGCUUAUGGAUGGGCUCGCGUCCCAUCAGCUAGUUGGUAAGGUAACGGCUUACCAAGGCGACGACGGGUAGCCGGUCUGAGAGGAUGGUCGGCCACACUGGGACUGAGAUACGGCCCAGACUCCUACGGGAGGCAGCAGUUGGGAAUAUUGGGCAAUGGGCGAAAGCCUGACCCAGCGACGCCGCGUGAGGGAAGAAGGCCUUCGGGUCGUAAACCUCUGUCAUCGGGGACGAAGAAAGUGACGGUACCCGAGGAGGAAGCCCUGCUAACUACGUG
RNAcentral lists this ribosomal RNA (474 nucleotides) under uncultured bacterium. RNAcentral's name for it is "bacterial SSU rRNA". It matches the Rfam family "Bacterial small subunit ribosomal RNA", at positions 28 to 507 of the family's 1533-position model. The record is from RNAcentral.